CGAGGCCCGGCCGGGCGUCCUGCGCGAGGCACUGCGGGCUCCUGCCUGCGAGAUUAGGCGAGGGGCGGAAAGGGAGGCAAGGAGAGGCCGAGAGGAGACAGGCGAUCGGAUUUUCCAGGAGUCUGGUGUGGAAGAAAAACCCACCUCGAACUCAAAUCCACAAUAAUAAUCCGAACGAAUAAUAAGGGAGCCGUCUUUCUGGCCGGGCGAGAGAGAGGGAGAGAGAAGGGGGAACGGGAGGAAGCGAAAUCUCCGUUUCAUGGAGGCUGAGGCAAGAGAAAAUUUCGGAGCCUGGAUGUGGAGGAGCCCAACAGCAGAACUAACUCAGGAAAUUGUCUUUCAGAAAAAGGCCGAACGUAGGCUGGGUCUGAGAAUCAGGCUGGGGUAGGUGGAGGAACCUGCAAGUUUAAAGGAAAAAGAAAAGGAGAGAAUAUUUUCAGAGAUUAUCUCUGGUUUGUUAUCAUUACUACCAUCUUAAAGGUAAAAAGCAUUGCAUUUCAGGUGUUCUUUGAUUUUUAUUUUAUUUUUUUUUUUGGUGCAAUUGGCUCAUUUAAGAAUUUCAAAACAUUUAAUGUAAAAGCUUUUUUUUUUUUAAGGAAGUCCAUAAAUUUUGGUUCCCAGGGUUGCACUGGACUUGGAAGGAGUGCUGUUGUGUACAUACUAUUGUAUGGUUUUAUUUAUUAUUUUACUGUACAAAUCAGCCGAAAGAAUUUUUCCAAGUGCCAUUUCGGAUUUAUUAAUCCUUUUUUUUUUCCUUUCCUCAAAGAUAUUUGCUGUUGUCAUAUUAAGCAUUGGAGACUAGAAAAUUACUUUCCCCCUUUGAGCUAGAGGGUCUCUUGCCAACAGAAGGACAGCUGAGAAAGCUGGAUUUAAAGGAUGGUUUUAUCUGUACUUUGCAGUUAACAGUGAUAUUUUGAAGGCACAUUUUUCUGUGAUUCAUUUUUUUUUGGCCAUAGUGCUAACCUUGAAGAGAUUCGUGGCUGGGUUUUUGGUUUCUGAGAAGGUCGUAGUUUUUCCUCUUUUCCUUUUUUUUUCUUUUUUCUUUUCUUUUCUUUUUUUUUAAAGCGGGGGAGGGGAAGAGGGGCUGAGAAAGGAAAUCAUGUUCACUGGUAGAAGUAGAGUGGAGCAUCAGUUACCAGGGUCCUGAGAGCUGGAGGAGAAAGGAUUCUAUCUUCAAGUUGGGAGGCCCUCCUCUCACCUUGCUCAAAAAUUGCAAGCGAUUCAAUCCUGAUCAAGACACCAAAGCUACAGGAUUCUGGAACCGUGGAGACACCGAGAAACCAUGAGUGUAAGGUUACCCCAGAGUAUAGACAGGAGCACAGACCUUGAAGUCACACCAACUCUAUGCACAUCUUAACUUCAUUUAUUUAACCUCUCUGUUCACACACUGGAAAAUGGGGAUGUACUACCUGUUUCACCAGAC
This 1423-nucleotide long non-coding RNA is filed under the name Homo sapiens (human). Its description in RNAcentral is "HSALNT0015948". Lineage: Eukaryota; Metazoa; Chordata; Mammalia; Primates; Hominidae. The record is from RNAcentral.